RNAcentral lists this ribosomal RNA (445 nucleotides) under uncultured bacterium. RNAcentral's name for it is "bacterial SSU rRNA". It matches the Rfam family "Bacterial small subunit ribosomal RNA", at positions 29 to 507 of the family's 1533-position model. The record is from RNAcentral.
AAUCAACGCUGGCGGCGCGCUUAACACAUACAAGUCGAACGAGAAAGGGAGCAAUCCUGAGUAAAGUGGCGCACGGGUGAGUAACACGUGGGUAAUCUACCCUCUGGUGGGGAAUAACUCUGGGAAACCGGAGCUAAUACCGCAUAAGACCGGAAGGUGAAAGGCGCAAGUCGCCGGAGGAGGAGCCCGCGGCCGAUUAGCUGGAUGGUAGGGUAAUGGCCUACCAUGGCUGAGAUCGGUAGCCGGCCUGAGAGGGCACACGGCCACACUGGCACUGAAACACGGGCCAGACUCCUACGGGAGGCAGCAGUGGGGAAUCUUGCACAAUGGGGGAAACCCUGAUGCAGCGACGCCGCGUGAGCGAUGAAGCCCUUCGGGGUGUAAAGCUCUUUCGGCAGGGACGAUAAUGACGGUACCUGCAGAAGAAGCUGCGGCUAACUACGUG